AGGGACCUACCUGAUAGCUGGGGUCAACUUGGUGACGACCAGGCCUCAUACUGCAUACGCCGUACGGGGGAAAGCAGCGGAUCUUCGGACGUGCACUAUCAGAUGGGCCUGCGUCGGAUGAGCUAGUUGGUGAGGUAAUGGCUCACCAAGGCGACGAUCCGUAGCUGGUUUGAGAGAAUGAUCAGCUACACUGGGAGUGAGACACGCCCCAGACUCCUACGGGAGGCAGCAGUGGGGAAUAUUGGACAAUGGGGGCAACCCUGAUCCAGCAAUACCGCGUGUGUGAAGAAGGCCCGAGGGUUGUAAAGCACUUUCAAUUGUGAAGAAAAGCUUAAGGUUAAUAACCUUGAGUCUUGACGUUAACUUUAGAAGAAGCACCGGCUAACUCCGUGCCAGCAGCCGCGGUAAUACGGAGGGUGCAAGCGUUAAUCGGAAUUACUGGGCGUAAAGCGCGCGUAGGCGGUUUAGUCAGUCAGAUGUGAAAGCCCCGGGCUCAACCUGGGAACUGCAUUUGAUACUGCUAAGCUAGAGUAUGAUAGAGGCAAGUGGAAUUCCGGGUGUAGCGGUGAAAUGCGUAGAUAUCUGGAGGAACAUCAGUGGCGAAGGCGACUUGCUGGAUCAAUACUGACGCUGAGGUGCGAAAGCGUGGGUAGCAAACAGGAUUAGAUACCCUGGUAGUCCACGCUGUAAACGAUGUCAACUAGCCGUUGGGACCAUUUAAGGUUUUAGUGGCGCAGCUAAC
RNAcentral lists this ribosomal RNA (742 nucleotides) under uncultured Pseudomonadota bacterium. RNAcentral describes it as "bacterial SSU rRNA". It matches the Rfam family "Bacterial small subunit ribosomal RNA", at positions 119 to 856 of the family's 1533-position model. Lineage: Bacteria; Pseudomonadati; Pseudomonadota. The record is from RNAcentral.